Molecule: long non-coding RNA, 729 nt
Filed under: Cricetulus griseus (Chinese hamster)
Lineage: Eukaryota; Metazoa; Chordata; Mammalia; Rodentia; Cricetidae
Description: lncRNA (ENSCGRG00015019257.2)
Source: RNAcentral
CACUGUUGAGAUUGCAAGCAGGUACUACCAUGCCUAGCUUUUUAAAAGUAUGGAUUCUAAGACUUAUUGCCUCAUGCUGAAAAGGAGUUCUACACAGAAGCAUGUUGGCUGCUGUCUAGAAUCUGGCACACUUCUAAGCAGUGGUGGAAACACAUAUCCCAAUCUGUUCUAAGUAUUAGGAGAGACUUGAAAGUGUGCAAGAAAGGAUUCAACUCUAAUGUUGCAGUUACUUAACAACCGAUGGAUAAAUUAAGGCAACCUUUGGAAAUUUGGGAGGAUAUCAUGGUCCAUCAUUGAGAGAAGCCAGGACAGGAACUCAAGGCAAGAGCCUGAAGAGAGAACUGCUUGCUUUUCAGUGCAGCAUUACCUUUAGCCAGUUCCCAUCAAGUUUAUAAAAACAACCAAGUUGAGACUCUUCCUUCCCCCUCCACCGGCCCGACCUCUCCUAAGCUGGCUUUCUGUGGCGAAUGCAGAGCACCGGAGCAGCCUCGGGAGAACAGCUGGAGAAAGUGCACAGGAAGAUAAAUUAAUAGGAACUCAGCGUAGCAGCAAAUUCUAGCGCACAGCGCUCAGCUGACCCGUUAAAUGAGCAAUCCUGUUAAAUACGUUAAUCAGCACGGUUUAAAAAACCCAUGGGAAUGCUGUGGAAGAUACUUCGAGUCGAAACUGCACUCUGCACCGCUGUGGUCUGCAUCCUGCAGGUUCUUGGAUAAUAGUCUUUCUUUGCUU